This is a long non-coding RNA of Colossoma macropomum (tambaqui), 3090 nucleotides long. RefSeq lists it as uncharacterized. The transcript is spliced from 2 exons. Lineage: Eukaryota; Metazoa; Chordata; Actinopteri; Characiformes; Serrasalmidae. The record is from RefSeq and is a predicted model, not a curated record.
AAAGACUAGGGGCUCUAGAUUUUUUUAAAAUGUUUUUUCUUUGAUGUAUAUAAGCUUGAGCAUAACAGCAGCAGGAAGGCUUUGGCUCUGUAGAUCAAGAUCUGUCUGCUGUAGUUGAUGUGUGUAAUUUUACACUCUUUAAACAGCAGCGUUAAGGAUUGUAGCAGAAAGACGGGAAAUUUGCGAUUUGAAAUUACAGGACCUGUGUGAAUGAUGGGUGAAUGUGUGUGUUUUGGUGAAUGUGUAGGUGUGUUUGUCUGUCGACAUGCAAGAACGUUAAUCAAGAACACUGACUUGCAACAGAGCCACACAUGCUAACACACGUCAGAUUUGUUACCUUCAGUUCUAAACGGGUGGGAUUUGGCUUUGGGCAGAGACAUGCUGCCGUCAGUAUCAGCAAAAUAACACAGUUGUUUUAAGGAACCCAAGUCGUUUUCAGCCCUUUAGGUACAGCCUUGCCGGGGCAGAUGACUUCUGGUCUGCACAUGAACCUGAGCUCACAUUUUAAUGUCACCCAUUGGAGUGAGGCUAGGCCAUAAAAUGGAUGGCAAGUGAAUGUUAGUCUAUCUAGCAUUCAUCAAUAAAAUCUACAGACUUUUCACCUUUAAUAGAUAGCUAUGCUCAUACUUCAUACUCGUGUUUUUCUGUUGUUUCCAUAUCUUUAUUGACUCUGGGUUGGGGAUGCCAUUUGUUAUGAAUUAGCAAAACUGUUGGGUGCCUGCAGACAGCAACUAUGCAUGCUUUGCAGGAUUUUAGAGGAAUUGAUUGCCAUUUCUAGACGUGUGCUCUUCUCUCACAUGGACAAAAUGCUGUGGGUGUACAGACAGAUAUUUAAUCUCUCAAAUUACCAUUUUCUUUAUUUGUCCUAGACAGCAAAGCAUCCCCCCUUGGAGUGUAGGCCCGUGCAAACACAUCUUGUUUUCCUCUUAUCUUUUCACUUCCCACAUUUACAUCACAAUAAAUGUUAGUAUACAAGAGUGAUUUGGCUUUAGUUGAUUUGAUUCUGGAGUUGCAAGGUCAAUUGCAUUAGGUCUCCAGAUGAUUGGAAUUUGAGAAUAAAAGACAGUAAAGUACAAAUAUCUCAUGUUUUUUGUUGUUCUAAAAAUAAAAAAAGAAAAGCAAUGGGAUGUUCCAUUUGACAAAGGUUUUAGGUCAUUUUAAUUUUGAUUUGAUCUAAAAUUAUAAACCCAAUGCCUUGUAAACUCAUGCAGUUCUUUUAUUUAAUUAAAAUCUGCCCAUUUCACUUGACAACUAGUGUAAGGAGCCUACAUGAGAUUUUCAUAACAUCUAAUAUGUAAAACAUCCAAGACAAGCUUAUGUCUGCCGCUAAAUCUGAUUAUUCUCAAAUAAGUGAAUUCCUUCCAAAAAAGAGUCCAUUGGUCAGUAUUGUAUGGUUUUGACCACAGAUCUUGUUAUAUAGCAUUCUUUCGGUGUCUUUGACUGGACACCAGUAAAAGACUGUAAUGAAAGCAUGGCAGAGAAAACGUUUUUAAAAAUGAUGUUAUGUCCUCUUUCCUUUAGAAUUCACCUCAGGCAGUCUUCAGUCUUUCAUUCCAACACAGAGAUGGUGGGGUACAUGCACAACACACACAUACAUGUGUACACACAAACAGAAUAAGUAUCAGUGACCCCUAAAGGCCUGGAUACACAAAGCUGCAGCUAGGUGGGGUAAUUUAAAGAGAAUUCUUGAAAUGGAAAUGACCUGCAAGGGGCAAGAGCUCACAUGGUUUAGGAGCUGGCAUUUUAUUAAAGGGCUCUAUCAGAACUGAACUUGAACCUACCAUGGCAAUCCAGUCUUUGGAAUUGAUCGCUCAUCACCAUGUAUCGUAAAAAAUGACUUGAAUUGGCCUUUGUUGUAAAUAUUCGAUACGGUUUUUAAAAACACCUAAUACAAGUGUUGUGUAUCCACGCCAUAAAACCUGCUGAAGUAACAGGCAGAUAUGUUGUUGUAGUGUUCAGUUUUCUUUAAGAACACUUGGUAGAGUGGAGAUGGGAGGGUGGCGGGGUGUAGCUCCUUACAGUGCACCAGGGCUCCACACAUGUGACUCCACACCUUAUCGCAACAUGUCUGUAAUGUGUUAUUGCAAAUAGUGCAUGACUUGUUACUUUUACUGCUCUUCCAGCCACAUUUUCCCUUUUCGCUAACUACAGCUAAAAUGGCACCCGGGCCUCAGGACGCCAGGUUGCACAUGACGGGGGGAAGAGAAUUAGAGUCCCACAGUGGCAUGGACGCACUCCCCACAAAGCAUUUCCAGUAAGACGAGACGAGACGUGCACUCAAAACUGAGGUGCCCCGGCUGUGCAUUUGAACGGUUAAGAAGACAGCACAGCUGUAAAGAGUGUGCAGUGCUAUCCGAAAAGCAAGAGGUAGGGCUGUCGCCUGGUAGGUGAGUAACCCAGUGCGCCACUGUCCCACUCAAACCUACUCCUUCCUUCAGACCCCAACACAAUACCUCUCUCACCUUUAAGAUCUUGUAGAUCAUGUUGCCCUUUCUUCAGAGAAAGGUGGUUCACCUAAAACUCCACAGAAAGCAUUCAGAACCUGGAUGGGGUAUAAGAAUUGAGAUUCUCAACUUCACAUGUAAAAAUGCUUUCAGACGUCUAUAACUGUUAAGACUGGAGCUGGAGAGUUGUUUGGCCAGUUUCAAAACCCUUAUCACUAAACUGUCCACAUCAUUUCACAAAAUAAAAAGAAAAAGUAAGAGUUUCUCUGGACAUCAUAAUCUUCACUUCAAACCUUCAGGUUUUGCUUUUUGUUUUUCUUUUUUUUUUUCCUUUUCUUUUUGGGCAAUUGAACUUCCUUGUUUACUGAUCAUUGAAUGAAAGUGCUUCAUCUCUGGGUUUGGGUUGAGCAAUAUAUGUAGAAUGUUGCUUAUGAUUACUUUAGAUCAGGAAAUAAUCAUUCAGGGAACUUGCAUUAGUUGAAUUAAACAUUAUUGCUUUCAUCAGGCUUUGCUUACUGCUUUUGCUACUGUCCUAGAAAAGAAUGUUACAUCCUUGUUUUUUUUGUUUUUUUUCUUCCUUUUGGCCAUUAUCUUUGUAGGCCUACUCUGAUCUUGUAAAAACAAAUAAAUACUUUCCUGAAUUCAA